Molecule: unclassified non-coding RNA, 234 nt
Filed under: plant metagenome
Description: partial contains small subunit ribosomal RNA, internal transcribed spacer 1, and 5.8S ribosomal RNA
Source: RNAcentral
UUUCCGUAGGUGAACCUGCGGAAGGAUCAUUACCGAGUGAGGGCCCUCUGGGUCCAACCUCCCACCCGUGUUUAUUAUACCUUGUUGCUUUGGCGGGCCCGCCUCACGGCCGCCGGGGGGCUUCUGCCCCCGGGCCGUGCCCGCCGAAGACACCUUAGAACUCUGUCUGAAGAUUGUAGUCUGAGUAAAAAUAUAAAUUAUUUAAAACUUUCAACAACGGAUCUCUUGGUUCCG